UUCUGCUCGAUAGAUGCUACUUACGCUCUGCCGUUGAUGUUGUUCCCACCUCAAAUAAUGAGCCACCAUCAGCAAUAUUUCAGCCGGCAGCCAAGCUACUGCAUUUCCCACAAGGCUUCUUGGCAAACACACUGAGAGAUUGGGGAGCGGCGGGGGGGGGGGUCAAAAGAUCCACAACGUGAAUCUCCCCAGUUUGAUUUGGAGUUUUCUUUUGUCUCCCCAUUUGGAAGCCUCCAACCUCUUUGAUCCCCAGAGAUCCGACAGGAAUCUCCAGGCAUCGUCUCGCAGCCCGAGUGCUUAUUGAUCACCCUGUUGUGCACUCGCUCGCUCUCUCUCUCUCUCACCCAAAGGUCGGAUCAUGCAAAAAGCCCUCCGAGCGGAGGCUGCAACACUUUACAGGAACUCACAACAGCAUGCAUCCCUCCAUGACGAGACAGGCCGGAGUGAGUAGACAAGCUUCCAACAUUCUUGCCUUCCUGUCUAAACAAACGCGGGGCGCUGACGUCUGCAAAGACGGCUAAGCGGCGGUGAGAAGUGAGGCCGAGGGUUGCCUAAAGGGUUCUUUUUAAUGGCAGCUGGGUCUCUUUCCCCGUCAACCCCACACCCACCCACCAGGCUGUGUGCAGAGGUGCUUUUGUCCCGCUGCCUUUGCUGUGUUAAACUAAUUACUGAAGGUGUGACUGCUCCACAGACAGCCGACCCCCUGCACACGCGCAAUAACGUACACGCACUUUUGAACAAGAGGAAUGGUGGCUUCAUAAAGAUUUUUGGGGCUUUUUUGUUCCUAAUAAACAUGCAUUUGUUCUCCAGGAUAAAAGAAUCCAGACAUGUGGGACGAGGAAAUAAGUCAUGUCCUUAGGACCAGCCAUUAAGGGGGAAACAGGAGAAUGACGGCUCCAGAGAGAGGAGGAGAAACUCGAUCCGGGCUGGGACUGCUGCGCUGCCGCUAUACACAGAGCCAAUGUCAGGCAGGCGUGGGCCCAACACAAAGAAUAAUAAA
This is a long non-coding RNA of Phycodurus eques (leafy seadragon), 1000 nucleotides long. RefSeq lists it as uncharacterized. The transcript has 3 exons. The record is from RefSeq and is a predicted model, not a curated record. Lineage: Eukaryota; Metazoa; Chordata; Actinopteri; Syngnathiformes; Syngnathidae.